GCACAAAAUUUCAACUGGCCAUCCUAAAAUUAUUCAAUUUGGUUCUGAGUGUAGGUUACUUCCCUGACAUCUGGAACCAUGGGCUUAUAACACCAAUAUUCAAAAAUGGAGAUAAAUUUGACCCAAACAAUUACCGAGGCAUCUGUGUGAACACUGUAAUCGAACCAAUUGCUCUUUAUGGCAGUGAAGUGUGGGGUCCACUCAUCAGUCAAGAAUUUGGCAAAUGGGACAAA
Long non-coding RNA from Anguilla rostrata (American eel), 233 nucleotides. RefSeq lists it as uncharacterized. The record is from RefSeq and is a predicted model, not a curated record. The transcript is spliced from 2 exons. Lineage: Eukaryota; Metazoa; Chordata; Actinopteri; Anguilliformes; Anguillidae.